Molecule: ribosomal RNA, 628 nt
Filed under: uncultured bacterium
Lineage: Bacteria
Description: bacterial SSU rRNA
Rfam family: Bacterial small subunit ribosomal RNA (bases 1-540)
Source: RNAcentral
CCUACGGGAGGCAGCAGUGGGGAAUUUUGGACAAUGGGCGCAAGCCUGAUCCAGCAAUGCCGCGUGAGUGAAGAAGGCCUUCGGGUUGUAAAGCUCUUUUGUCAGGGAAGAAACGGACUUUUCUAAUACAGAGGUCUAAUGACGGUACCUGAAGAAUAAGCACCGGCUAACUACGUGCCAGCAGCCGCGGUAAUACGUAGGGUGCAAGCGUUAAUCGGAAUUACUGGGCGUAAAGCGUGCGCAGGCGGUUUUGUAAGUUUGUCGUGAAAUCCCCGGGCUCAACCUGGGAAUGGCGAUGAAGACUGCAAGGCUAGAGUUUGGCAGAGGGGGGUAGAAUUCCACGUGUAGCAGUGAAAUGCGUAGAUAUGUGGAGGAACACCGAUGGCGAAGGCAGCCCCCUGGGUCAAAACUGACGCUCAUGCACGAAAGCGUGGGGAGCAAACAGGAUUAGAUACCCUGGUAGUCCACGCCCUAAACGAUGUCUACUAGUUGUCGGGUCUUAAUUGACUUGGUAACGCAGCUACGCGUGAGUAGACCGCCGUGGGAGGUACGGUCGCGAGAAGUUAAACGUAACGAAAGAAGUAGACGGCGUGAGACGUAGCCGAACGGACGACGACGAGGGAGGAGG